GACGAACGCUGGCGGCGUGCUUAACACAUGCAAGUCGAACGGCAAGGCCCUGCUUUUGUGGGGUGCUCGAGUGGCGAACGGGUGAGUAACACGUGAGUAACCUGCCCUUGACUUUGGGAUAACUUCAGGAAACUGGGGCUAAUAUCGGAUAGGAGCUCCUGCUGCAUGGUGGGGGUUGGAAAGUUUCGGCGGUUGGGGAUGGACUCGCGGGUUAUCAGCUUGUUGGUGGGGUAGUGGCUUACCAAGGCUUUGAAGGGUAGCCGGCCUGAGAGGGUGACCGGCCACAUUGGUACUGAGAUACGGCCCAGACUCCUACGGGAGGCAGCAGUGGGGAAUAUUGCACAAUGGGCGGAAGCCUGAUGCAGCAACGCCGCGUGCGGGAUGACGGCCUUCGGGUUGUAAACCGCUUUCGCCUGUGACGAAGCGUGAGUGACGGUAAUGGGUAAAGAAGCACCGGCUAACUACGUG
RNAcentral lists this ribosomal RNA (468 nucleotides) under uncultured bacterium. RNAcentral's name for it is "partial 16S ribosomal RNA". It matches the Rfam family "Bacterial small subunit ribosomal RNA", at positions 28 to 507 of the family's 1533-position model. The record is from RNAcentral.